Molecule: unclassified non-coding RNA, 365 nt
Filed under: soil metagenome
Description: partial contains 5.8S ribosomal RNA, internal transcribed spacer 2, and large subunit ribosomal RNA
Rfam family: 5.8S ribosomal RNA (bases 1-120)
Source: RNAcentral
GAUGAAGAACGUAGUGAAAUGCGAUAAGUAAUGUGAAUUGCAGAAUUCAGUGAACCAUCGAAUCUUUGAACGCACAUUGCUCCCGCCAGUAUUCUGGCGGGCAUGCCUGUCCGAGCGUCAUCUCAACCCUCGAGCCCCCCCGGGGGCUCGGCGUUGGGGACCGGCCCCGCCCCAGGGCGCGCCGCCCCCCAAAUCCAGUGGCGGUCCCGCCGCAGCCUCCCCUGCGCAGUAGCUUGCACACUCGCACCGGAGAGCGGCGCGGCCACGCCGUAAAACCCCCCGACCACGGAGCCCCGGCUCCUGAACGUUGACCUCGGAUCAGGUAGGAAUACACGCUGAACUUAAGCAUAUCAAUAAGCGGAGGA